CAUAUAGAACUUCAAAUUUUAGAGUUGGUUCUUAAAUGUGUAUUAUUAACAGGUAUUACAAGAAAGAUAAGGAAUGCUCCAACCAGAGAAAUCUUAUAGUUCUGAUAAGCAAGUUCAUAGGCUUCGUAGAAAUUUCGGGUGUUCGCAUGGAAGUAAGUAUAACACACAUCCACCUACCAACCUGAGUUCAUUGCUCCAGAGCACCCUGGAUGACCAGAAUCUAUUACUCCGCUUAUAUUCGUCCCCUGUAACACAUCAUUUCUUGAGUCAUUAUAUUUUUGUUUCUUGACAGAGGAAUUACUAAUUAUUGCAACUGCGGCAAGUAAUUCCAUUUGGAACAAAAAAACAUAAUGGUGCUGCAGUGCAGAGAAGAGAAGAGACAUAAUUUUACAGGACAAUUGGUCCAGGCCCAUUGAUUGUUGGCAACAAUCUACCAGCGGUUUUUUCCCGCUGGAACGUAAAAACCCUAGAAUGAGUCAUUUUUCCGCUGGUAGACACUGUAGCCCCCUGCAUUCACAUCAAAAAUUUAGGCUUAAUGCC
Molecule: long non-coding RNA, 540 nt
Filed under: Daucus carota (carrot)
Lineage: Eukaryota; Viridiplantae; Streptophyta; Magnoliopsida; Apiales; Apiaceae
Description: long non-coding RNA (DCAR_LNC003008)
Source: RNAcentral